CCUACGGGGGGCAGCAGUGGGGAAUAUUGCACAAUGGGCGCAAGCCUGAUGCAGCAACGCCGCGUGAGGGACGACGGCCUUCGGGUUGUAAACCUCUUUUAGCAGGGAAGAAGCGAAAGUGACGGUACCUGCAGAAAAAGCACCGGCUAACUACGUGCCAGCAGCCGCGGUAAUACGUAGGGUGCAAGCGUUGUCCGGAAUUAUUGGGCGUAAAGAGCUCGUAGGCGGUUUGUCGCGUCUGCUGUGAAAACCCGAGGCUCAACCUCGGGCCUGCAGUGGGUACGGGCAGACUAGAGUGCGGUAGGGGAGAUUGGAAUUCCUGGUGUAGCGGUGGAAUGCGCAGAUAUCAGGAGGAACACCGAUGGCGAAGGCAGAUCUCUGGGCCGUAACUGACGCUGAGGAGCGAAAGCGUGGGGAGCGAACAGGAUUAGAUACCCCAGUAGUCC
Molecule: ribosomal RNA, 446 nt
Filed under: uncultured Actinomycetes bacterium
Lineage: Bacteria; Bacillati; Actinomycetota; Actinomycetes
Description: bacterial SSU rRNA
Rfam family: Bacterial small subunit ribosomal RNA
Source: RNAcentral